UACAGAGGGGGCGAGCGUUGUUCGGAAUCACUGGGUGUAAAGGGUGCGUAGGCGGUCGGUUAAGUCUGAUGUGAAAGCCCUCGGCUCAACUGGGGAACUGCAUUGGAAACUAGCUGACUGGAGUACCGGAGAGGGAAGCGGAAUUCCUGGUGUAGCGGUGAAAUGCGUAGAUACCAGGAGGAACACCGGUGGCGAAGGCGGCUUCCUGGCCGAGUACUGACGCUGAGGCACGAAAGCGUGGGGAGCGAACGGG
RNAcentral lists this ribosomal RNA (253 nucleotides) under uncultured bacterium. RNAcentral describes it as "partial 16S ribosomal RNA". It matches the Rfam family "Bacterial small subunit ribosomal RNA", at positions 524 to 776 of the family's 1533-position model. The record is from RNAcentral.